Molecule: ribosomal RNA, 227 nt
Filed under: uncultured Bacteroidaceae bacterium
Lineage: Bacteria; Pseudomonadati; Bacteroidota; Bacteroidia; Bacteroidales; Bacteroidaceae
Description: partial 16S ribosomal RNA
Rfam family: Bacterial small subunit ribosomal RNA
Source: RNAcentral
CUGAACCAGCCAAGUAGCGUGAAGGCUGACUGCCCUAUGGGUUGUCAACUUCUUUUCUAAAGGAAUAAAGUCGGGUCUGUAUACCCGUUUGCAUGUCCUUUAUGACUAAGGAUCGGCUAACUCCGUGCCAGCAGCCGCGGUAAUACGGAGGAUCCGAGCGUUAUCCGGAUUUAUUGGGUUUAAAGGGAGCGUAGAUGGAUGUUUAAGUCAGUUGUGAAAGUUUGCGG